Molecule: unclassified non-coding RNA, 248 nt
Filed under: plant metagenome
Description: partial contains small subunit ribosomal RNA, internal transcribed spacer 1, and 5.8S ribosomal RNA
Source: RNAcentral
UUUCCGUAGGUGGACCUGCGGAAGGAUCAUUAACGAGUUUUUUUCGGUUUACCGAAAACUCCCACCCUUGUGUAUUUUCGCUGAAAAGCAGCUUCGGCGGGCCGUCUGGGGGGUCUCCAGCGAUGGAGCUUCUUGGACAUCGGCUCACUGCGGAUUUGCGUCCGCCGAAGAACCAACUCUUUACAAUUUGAAGUCUGAUUAAAAAACAAAAUAAAUCAAAACUUUCAACAACGGAUCUCUUGGUUCUG